Molecule: transfer RNA, 51 nt
Filed under: Allium paniculatum
Lineage: Eukaryota; Viridiplantae; Streptophyta; Magnoliopsida; Asparagales; Amaryllidaceae
Description: partial tRNA-Leu
Source: RNAcentral
AAAAUCCGUCAACUUUUGAAAUCGGGGGGGUUCAAGUCCCUCUAUCCCCAG